This 446-nucleotide ribosomal RNA is filed under the name uncultured bacterium. RNAcentral describes it as "bacterial SSU rRNA". It matches the Rfam family "Bacterial small subunit ribosomal RNA", at positions 329 to 792 of the family's 1533-position model. The record is from RNAcentral.
CGCCAGACUCCUACGGGAGGCAGCAGUGGGGAAUAUUGCACAAUGGGGGAAACCCUGAUGCAGCGACGCCGCGUGAGCGAUGAAGUAUUUCGGUAUGUAAAGCUCUAUCAGCAGGGAAGAAAAUGACGGUACCUGACUAAGAAGCCCCGGCUAACUACGUGCCAGCAGCCGCGGUAAUACGUAGGGGGCAAGCGUUAUCCGGAUUUACUGGGUGUAAAGGGAGCGUAGACGGCAUGGCAAGUCAGAUGUGAAAGCCCGGGGCUCAACCCCGGGACUGCAUUUGAAACUGUCAGGCUGGAGUGCAGGAGAGGUAAGUGGAAUUCCUAGUGUAGCGGUGAAAUGCGUAGAUAUUAGGAGGAACACCAGUGGCGAAGGCGGCUUACUGGACUGUAACUGACGUUGAGGCUCGAAAGCGUGGGGAGCAAACAGGAUUAGAUACCCCGGUA